This 209-nucleotide long non-coding RNA is filed under the name Elaeis guineensis (African oil palm). RNAcentral's name for it is "long non-coding RNA (EGUI_LNC037400)". The record is from RNAcentral. Lineage: Eukaryota; Viridiplantae; Streptophyta; Magnoliopsida; Arecales; Arecaceae.
CGUUUUGGCAGUUAUUACAAGUGCUGUUCAUCACAUGGAGGAGAACAGGUGAAAGCGAAAUCUAUCUUGCUCCUAGCCACUAGCUUUGAUUCAGCAUGAUGUGCUCGUGCUGAAAUAUUAUUCAACUCACAGUGAUCAACUUCGUAACCAAAUCCCUUCACACAUUUCAUAAUGAUCCAUGUAUCCAUCCAUGCUGACAGAGAAUUAGU